GCAGUCGCCACGGUAAUACAGAGGGUGCAAGCGUUAAUCGGAAUUACUGGGCGUAAAGCGCGCGUAGGUGGUUUGUUAAGUUGGAUGUGAAAUCCCCGGGCUCAACCUGGGAACUGCAUCCAAAACUGGCAAGCUAGAGUAUGGUAGAGGGUGGUGGAAUUUCCUGUGUAGCGGUGAAAUGCGUAGAUAUAGGAAGGAACACCAGUGGCGAAGGCGACCACCUGGACUGAUACUGACACUGAGGUACGAAAGCAUGGGGAGCAAACAGGAUUAGAUACCCCUGUAGUCCCUGUCUCUUAUAC
RNAcentral lists this ribosomal RNA (302 nucleotides) under uncultured bacterium. RNAcentral describes it as "partial 16S ribosomal RNA". It matches the Rfam family "Bacterial small subunit ribosomal RNA", at positions 508 to 807 of the family's 1533-position model. The record is from RNAcentral.